UGUCCCAAAAGAAACAAAAGGGAUAAACAAUGGACAAAUACAGAACUUAUGGCAAUGUUUAAUGCUUAGCACAUUUGGAGGGUUGACAAUCAACUAACUGACAUGAGAUCACAAUGUAUAAACCAGCAGACGAGAAAAAACCGUUAGGACGACCAAGACAAUGCAAUGAAGUGAUCAAGUCAGGAAGACCUCAAGCUUAUGAUAAUAAACAAUAGAGAACAUGAACAUAUAGCCAUGAUCACUAAUAUAGUGUAAU
Non-coding RNA from Cinara cedri, 256 nucleotides. The record is from the annotation of a GenBank genome assembly. Lineage: Eukaryota; Metazoa; Arthropoda; Insecta; Hemiptera; Aphididae.